This 200-nucleotide ribosomal RNA is filed under the name uncultured bacterium. RNAcentral describes it as "partial 16S ribosomal RNA". It matches the Rfam family "Bacterial small subunit ribosomal RNA", at positions 30 to 224 of the family's 1533-position model. The record is from RNAcentral.
AUUGAACGCUGGCGGCAUGCCUUACACAUGCAAGUCGAACGGCAGCACAGGAGAGCUUGCUCUCUGGGUGGCGAGUGGCGGACGGGUGAGGAAUGCGUCGGAAUCUGCCUAUUUGUGGGGGAUAACGUAGGGAAACUUACGCUAAUACCGCAUACGACCUACGGGUGAAAGUGGGGGACCGCAAGGCCUCACGCAGAUAG